This 253-nucleotide ribosomal RNA is filed under the name uncultured bacterium. RNAcentral's name for it is "partial 16S ribosomal RNA". It matches the Rfam family "Bacterial small subunit ribosomal RNA", at positions 524 to 776 of the family's 1533-position model. The record is from RNAcentral.
UACGAAGGGGGCUAGCGUUGCUCGGAAUUACUGGGCGUAAAGGGCGCGUAGGCGGCACUGUUAGUCAGGCGUGAAAGUCCUGGGCUCAACCUGGGAACUGCGCUUGAUACGGCAGAGCUAGAGGAUGGAAGAGGCUCGCGGAAUUCCCAGUGUAGAGGUGAAAUGCGCAGAUAUCGGGAGGAACACCAGUGGCGAAGGCGGAACUCUGGGCCGGAACUGACGCUGAGGAGCGAAAGCGUGGGGAGCGAACAGG